AAAAUCAGAUCACUAACAGAGAAAGAACCUGUAUUAAACAAUAAUUAGUCAAGGUAAAUAUGUCGAUGUUAAGAAGACAUAGAUAGAUAGAUAGAUAGAUACACUGGAUGCUAUGGCAAUAGUCAUAAAUCUACAUGUAUUGACAUACAACUGCAUCAUGAAUCCUCAAGAUACAACAGUUCGUAUAUCUCAACCACCUUGCCAUCUUGGGUGCUACUUGAUCAUCCAUUGUCCUGCAAUAUAUGUAUUUGACAAAAAACUUGUUAUAUGUACGCAAAUACACUGCAUCAAAAAAGAAGAUGCUAAUAACAACAUACACCUCGCAUGCUAUUACAUGAUCCUUUUUCCUGUAAUAUAAAUUUGAUAAAGUCAAAAAUUUAGAAUAGAAAUAUAUUGUUCGCCAAUAAUACAAUAUAUAUGUGGAAAGGUGUUGCCCAGGUCACCUGAUAAAGCCAACUUUACCAUUGGAUACAAAGUUAAUAUUCAUGCAUGUAGAUAAGAGCCUGCAACAUAUUUAUCCUCUAAUAUGUGAAUGCAUGGAUGUAAGAUAGGAAAACAAAUUCAAUGUAAAAACGCAUCCUAUGCACAUCAUGGAGACCUUAUCAUGAUCCAACAAAUCAAAUUGUAAGUUGGGCACUGGGGAAAUUACUCUUGGUAAGGAACAAUAGCAAGCAAUUUAUUUGACCUUUAUAAGCUGAUGGUUGCCCCUCUAGAUCCACCAAGUGAUGUGCUGGAGAGGAACAUGUCUACCGAGGAGCUUUUUGGGCGUCAACAACAACCUUUAAGAAUAGGAUCUUCUAUAGAAGAGUUAAAUAAGAAAUAAGAAACUUCAUAGAUGUAUGGUGUAUAAAACUAAAAAUAACAGGGACUUCCUUCUAACUUCAAGAGAAAUUAUGUAUAGUUAACUGUUCCGUAGUGGGGCAUUGCAUUUUAAAACAUGGUGCGCAUAAAAUGGUAGCAUAAUAGAAGUGAUCAUUAAUUAAGUUAAGAAUAUUACAAAAUAAUGUUUUACAAAAAAGGAGAUUAGACAAAGGCUUCGACUUAGAUUGAUAUUAUGACUGUUGCUUCAUGAAGCACCAGUCAGUCAUGGAAAAACAACAGCCCUCCUUUCAUGACAGACUUGCACUAAGAAUAUUCCAAACAGACCUUUGACUUCACUACAUUUAUUGGUUUAAUUCUUAAAAUUUUAGUCUUUAUAGUAUUUAGAAAAAUUAAAUUAGUAACUAACUCAGUUCUGAAACCUAAGAUACUUUUACGGAUAACGUAACUAACUCAGUUCUGAAAAAAAAGCUUGGAGUCACUCUUAUUUGUGUGCUCGGUCGCUUGGGGCAAGGAAUGCUUUUUUUGCAAUAGAAAAAUAGUUGUACAUGCUACACAUUAUCAAAAAAAUAAUAAUAGUUCGUGCAAUUUAUUUCUGCUAAUUCGCUUGCAUAAACUAUAAGUGUGUAACUAAACAUAUACUGAAAUCCUAAAACUUUCUACAUCAGAUGCUUAAUAAUCCUACAUAGAUUGGUAAUUAAAUCCAUUUUACUGCAUGGUCCUCAAAAAACGAAGCGUCAAGCACGGCUAGAAGAUCAUGAUGUGUUGUUUCUACUAUCUCAGAUCUCGCAAAUUUAGAGGAAUGUGCAACAUACCAUGAAGUAACUAUUAUCAAACAUCAGCUAUUUGUCGUUUCCAUGGUGGCUAAUAAUGUACGUACAUCAGGGACAACUUUCAACAUGAUGGAAAAAUACAAAAUUAGUCCUUCCCACUUACAUUAACAUGUAGUGCAUGUGUAACAAAUCUAGCUUGAUAAAGUUUUUCUUGUAAAAUCUAUGUUGUGUCCAAGAUAUCAGAGAUAAUAUUAAUAUGAUUAAAUGUUAACUGCAGCAUUGCACUUAAGAUACAUACUUGCUUGACUUUAGAGUGGGUGCAUGAGUAGCAGGCGAUGAAUGUCCAUGGUGUGAAUAGAUGCGCCAUCGGCCCAUCACAACUCUUUCCCUUGAGAUCCUUAUAGUCUCAUGGAUGUUGCCAUGGCAGCACCUGUGAGAUAAAUUUUAAUCAGAAAAAUAAUAAUGUCUUUUGUAGUAUAGGAAAAGUUUACAUAUAUGCAACUGAUCAGCAGGGUGCAAAAGGGAACAUUAAAUAAGGUAGCCUCAAUCUGUAUCAUUGGAAACAAUUAGGCCGAUAUAAACAGGGUAAAAAUAUAAUGCCUUAUUGUCUUUUCCUAGAGGAAAUAACUAUGGGAAGUACUACAAUAUGCAAAAGUGGAAUAUCAGUUGAACUUAGAAAUACUCACUGGGUGCCUUGGUGUUGUUUCCUCAGAGGAAAAAACUGUAGUAAGCAUCACGAUAUAAAAAUGUUAUUUGGAAUGUUGGUUGAACUAACAUAUAUUCAAUAGGUGUACAAAUAUGGUUUAAUUAAACAUCAACCAAAUGGUGAAGAAACCAUUUUCCACCAUAAAUAGAAUGGAAACAAAAACAGAAAGAUUAAUGUAUCAGGUAGAGUAAACUGAUCAAUUA
Molecule: long non-coding RNA, 2501 nt
Filed under: Triticum aestivum (bread wheat)
Lineage: Eukaryota; Viridiplantae; Streptophyta; Magnoliopsida; Poales; Poaceae
Description: long non-coding RNA (TAES_LNC001450)
Source: RNAcentral